Molecule: unclassified non-coding RNA, 316 nt
Filed under: plant metagenome
Description: partial contains 5.8S ribosomal RNA, internal transcribed spacer 2, and large subunit ribosomal RNA
Rfam family: 5.8S ribosomal RNA (bases 1-106)
Source: RNAcentral
GAACUGCGAUAAGUAAUGUGAAUUGCAGAAUUCAGUGAAUCAUCGAGUCUUUGAACGCACAUUGCGCCCCCUGGCAUUCCGGGGGGGCAUGCCUGUCCGAGCGUCAUUGCUGCCCUUCAAGCCCGGCUUGUGUGUUGGGUCGUCGUCCCCCCCGGGGGACGGACCCGAAAGGCAGCGGCGGCACCGUGUCCGGUCCUCGAGCGUAUGGGGCUUUGUCACCCGCUCGAUUAGGACCGGCCGGGCGCCCGCCGGCGUCAAACCACAAUCUUUCUAAGGUUGACCUCGGAUCAGGUAGGGAUACCCGCUGAACUUAAGC